CUAUACACCGGUUUGAAUCACAACGGAUGUUGCGUGACGUCAUGCGAAAAAGGUAUAUUCUCUGAAGUACACUUUAAAACACAGUGACAGAGCAGGAGAGCGCACGCGACAAUAUAGCAUUGCAGAUGUAGGAGAUGAGAGAGAGUCCAGCACAAAAGCAAAGCUUACCCCUGUGCAGGCUUUUCUUUAAGCUACUUUUUUUUUGCAAGGGAUUUUUUUUUUGGGGGGGGGCGUCGCAAAAUAUUAAAGCUAGGCGCCAUCUGGAUCCCUGUAAACAUCCAGGCUCUUUCCCACUUCACGUCACGUGCACAAGGACAGAGCUUUAGGUCAUGACGUAACGCAAACCUGUUCCGAAGUUCCGUGCACGCGCCGCUUCCUACAAACGUCCUAUUGGUUGAGCAUCCUCCAUAUUUGCCAUUCAGACACGCCCACAAGCGCGCGCUCCCGACAGCGGCUUGGGCGAAAAGAGGGGAACUUUUCAGUGGGCUGCGGUUGCACUUGCGUGCGCGUGUGCUUCUAUGUGAGCCGCUUAACGUUAUUGAUUCCCAGCGGUCAUUUUAUAGUAAUAGAAAAUCAGCAAGACGAAUAAACAACACGCUCUGUGAGAAUAUGCCACCACGGUCAGGUGCAAUUUCUGUCCUCGUGACGUCUCAGUGGCGUCUCAUUAACUUCACAUUGCAUCUCAUAACCAGCUGUGAGUAAAGGCCCAGGGUGCCUAGGAGGGACACAGCUCAGGAAAAAUGGUUGUGUUGGAUCAAGAGAUCAUGGGAAUGCAUCUUGGAUAGGCCACACUCAGUCACACCUAGGGGCAAUUUAGCAUCCAUGGAAUGUUUCUGGAUGGUGGAAGGAAACUGGAGAACCUGGAGGAAACCCACAUGAACACUGAACCUGCAAGCAUUUCCACAGAACGACAAUAAACCGAUCUCAAAUUCGACCCACUGCACCACCAUUCCACCAGCGUGUCAUUUUAAACCGUUAAAAUAAUCUAUGGUGAAUAAUAUUACAGGCUGUCUCAAAAGUCUACAUGCAUAGGGGAUUAUUUGCUGUAUGCAAGCACCAUGUCUGUUGUACCUUCUUGGUUGGUCUGCAACACUUCCAGUCUUUUUGAAUUUGUUAAUAAGUUUGGCAACAGUGUUGUGUGUGUGUGUGUGUGUGUGUGUGUGUGUGUGUGUGUGUGUGUGUGUGAUGUGCUUGCCAUGCUUCCUGUUAAAGUCCAUCGCAACCUUGCGAGAGCUUCACGAUCCAGCAAUGAGAAUGAUUUCAAUAUGUUCUUCUUUUGUCAAAAGCAUUCUUAAAGGCUAUCUGGAAAAGAAAUAUUUUAUAUAUAUAUAUAUUAGUAUGAAAGAUUUUUGAAGAUAUUUAGCUACAAAGUGUUAAUUUCCCCAAUGUAUGGUGACUUUUUUUGACAUCAUGUAUUGUGUUAAAUCUAAGAAAGUACUCCAAUGGCUUGUGUACAUUUUACCCCUUUACCCCCAUACAGAAUGCAAUAAUCUAUAUUAAACUAUGUAAAUUGUUAUGCAAAUUGGGUAGAAUAUGAAAAUUGCAAAUGCAACCAAGCAGCUUUUAUAUUAAUAUUUCUAGAACUUUCAGCCAAUUUCCAGCACACCUGUACUAGCUAGUCAGUGUUCUUGAUUGUUUAGUGCAUUGGGAGCUGGAGAUAGAUCCAAGAUGCCAGUGGACACCUUUGGACUUAUAAGAAUGCAAGAUUCCAAACUGGAUAAAUAUGACCUUGUAUGUCUGAAUCUCAGACUGACAAGAGAGGAGACAAUUGUUCCUUAUUUAUGGUUAUUUGAUAUGUACUCCCCAUCCCUUUGCACACAGUGGAGCAUUUUGGAUGUAAACAUAAGUUUGUGCUCGUGCAUCACUGUCGUGCUGCUGUCCUACACAAGCUCUGCUUUGUAAAGUUUGCAGGUCUUCUUCACAACAUUUAAUAUAAAAUGCUUAAUGGAAAAAAGCGUGCGACCAAAGUCCUGUCACUUGAUGAUUUCGCCUCCGUCUUAUGGUGAUUGAGGUCAUGCUAUGUAUAAAAGGUAACGCUGAAAUAAACAGUAAACGGAAGAAAUGCAUUUUUGUUGACUCUGGGUGUUCUGCUAAAGCUAGCGGCAUCGCAUUUCAUGCAUUUGACGUCAUGUGCUAUCGAUGGGGAAACGGCUUAUAUGUCCAGUUAGUAAAAAACGCUAGUGUUCCAUUUGAGAUGAUACUACCCGUCUAAACUUCAUACAUUAGAUGGUAGAGUAUAUAAUGCAUAGUGUAAGUGUAUAGAAUGUCAUUUGGAGCACAACUUUAGUAUUUACUCUUCAGUGCGUGUUUUUGGAACAGAAGUAACACAGUAAGUAAAUGUAUCCCAUACCGUGCGUAGACCAAAUUAUAGAUAAUGAGAUUUGUUGUUGACUAUUUUCAUAAUGAAUUAUUAUCGAUUUUAUCAAUUAGUUGUUACAGCUCUAGUAUUCACCCUCCUGGGUCAAUACUUUGCAGGGCCACCAUUGGCUGCAAUAACAGCUGUAAAUCUUCUGGGAUAUGGAUCCUGAUAUUUUUGCCCAUUUUUCUUUGUGAAAUUGCUCAAGCUCCAUCAUUGUGGAUGGAGAUUGGUAGCAAACAGCAAUUUUCAGUUUUGUCAAAUAUUCUGAUUCAGAUUCAAGGCUUUGACUUAGCCUUGGCCAUUCGAAUUUGUUCAGGUUCUUUGUUUUGAACACGACUUCUAUGUUGUUUUGUAUUUCCCGCACUUCAGUAUUAUGGACUAUUUUGAGUAGAUUCACAAUAUAUAAACCAGAUUAAGUCCAAUUUAGUUUCAACUACACUACAACACUAUAAAAU
This is a long non-coding RNA of Ictalurus punctatus (channel catfish), 2814 nucleotides long. NCBI's taxonomy places the organism in Eukaryota, Metazoa, Chordata, Actinopteri, Siluriformes, Ictaluridae. The record is from Ensembl.